This 460-nucleotide ribosomal RNA is filed under the name uncultured bacterium. RNAcentral's name for it is "partial 16S ribosomal RNA". It matches the Rfam family "Bacterial small subunit ribosomal RNA", at positions 338 to 795 of the family's 1533-position model. The record is from RNAcentral.
CCUACGGGAGGCAGCAGUGAGGAAUAUUGGUCAAUGGACGAGAGUCUGAACCAGCCAAGUAGCGUGAAGGAUGACUGCCCUAUGGGUUGUAAACUUCUUUUAUAUGGGAAUAAAAUGUUCCACGUGUGGGAUUUUGUAUGUACCAUAUGAAUAAGGAUCGGCUAACUCCGUGCCAGCAGCCGCGGUAAUACGGAGGAUCCGAGCGUUAUCCGGAUUUAUUGGGUUUAAAGGGAGCGUAGGUGGAUUGUUAAGUCAGUUGUGAAAGUUUGCGGCUCAACCGUAAAAUUGCAGUUGAUACUGGCAGUCGUGAGUACAGUAGAGGUGGGCGGAAUUCGUGGUGUAGCGGUGAAAUGCUUAGAUAUCACGAAGAACUCCGAUUGCGAAGGCAGCUCACUGGACUGCAACUGACACUGAGGCUCGAAAGUGUGGGUAUCAAACAGGAUUAGAGACCCUUGUAGUC